RNAcentral lists this unclassified non-coding RNA (288 nucleotides) under uncultured fungus. RNAcentral's name for it is "partial contains small subunit ribosomal RNA, internal transcribed spacer 1, and 5.8S ribosomal RNA". The stretch from base 1 to 73 matches the Rfam family "Eukaryotic small subunit ribosomal RNA", at positions 1759 to 1831 of the family's 1831-position model. Lineage: Eukaryota; Fungi. The record is from RNAcentral.
GCAAACUUGGUCAUUUAGAGGAAGUAAAAGUCGUAACAAGGUUUCCGUAGGUGAACCUGCGGAAGGAUCAUUAAAGGGUUUUAAAAAGUUCUUUUUUCACCUUGUGUGCAACUAUUGAAAAAAGUAGCCUUUGGGAGAAGGGGUUUCAGAUUUCACAGGAUCUCAUCUCCCAGAGGUACAUGUAUAUUUCAAUCUACAAUUUUUUUUAUGACUAAAAAUUUUAAAAUAAUUAAUAAAACAACUUUCAACAACGGAUCUCUUGGCUCUCGCAUCGAUGAAGAACGCAGC